AUUGAACGCUGGCGGCAUGCCUUACACAUGCAAGUCGAACGGCAGCACGGGUGCUUGCACCUGGUGGCGAGUGGCGAACGGGUGAGUAAUGCAUCGGAACGUACCCUGGAGUGGGGGAUAACUAUCCGAAAGGAUAGCUAAUACCGCAUAUUCUAUGAGUAGGAAAGCGGGGGAUCUUCGGACCUCGCGCUCUGGGAGCGGCCGAUGUCAGAUUAGCUAGUUGGUGGGGUAAAGGCCUACCAAGGCUACGAUCUGUAGCGGGUCUGAGAGGAUGAUCCGCCACACUGGGACUGAGACACGGCCCAGACUCCUACGGGAGGCAGCAGUGGGGAAUUUUGGACAAUGGGGGCAACCCUGAUCCAGCCAUGCCGCGUGAGUGAAGAAGGCCUUCGGGUUGUAAAGCUCUUUCGGCCGGGAAGAAAUCGCCAUCUCUAAUAUAGGUGGUGGAUGACGGUACCGGAAUAAGAAGCACCGGCUAACUACGUG
RNAcentral lists this ribosomal RNA (486 nucleotides) under uncultured organism. Its description in RNAcentral is "bacterial SSU rRNA". It matches the Rfam family "Bacterial small subunit ribosomal RNA", at positions 30 to 507 of the family's 1533-position model. The record is from RNAcentral.